CAUGCACUGGUGGGGUCCCUUGGCCUGGCCUGUGCCUUCUCACAAUCCAGGGCCCCUCGGGGGAUGUUGGAGAGCUGGUUGCGGCCCGAUCCCGCAGGCCAGGCCAAGGGACCCCACUGGUGCACA
RNAcentral lists this microRNA precursor (126 nucleotides) under Myotis brandtii (Brandt's bat). Its description in RNAcentral is "mir-9193 microRNA precursor family". It matches the Rfam family "mir-9193 microRNA precursor family". The record is from Rfam by way of RNAcentral. Lineage: Eukaryota; Metazoa; Chordata; Mammalia; Chiroptera; Vespertilionidae.